Molecule: ribosomal RNA, 207 nt
Filed under: uncultured bacterium
Lineage: Bacteria
Description: partial 16S ribosomal RNA
Rfam family: Bacterial small subunit ribosomal RNA
Source: RNAcentral
CGUGUAGGCGGCCAGGUAGGUCCGCUGUGAAAACUCGAGGCUCAACCUCGGGAUGUCGGCGGAAACCAUCUGGCUAGAGUCCGGAAGAGGAGAGUGGAAUUCCCGGUGUAGCGGUGAAAUGCGCAGAUAUCGGGAAGAACACCCGUGGCGAAGGCGGCUCUCUGGGACGGUACUGACGCUGAGAUGCGAAAGCGUGGGGAGCGAACA